Molecule: long non-coding RNA, 210 nt
Filed under: Mytilus galloprovincialis (Mediterranean mussel)
Lineage: Eukaryota; Metazoa; Mollusca; Bivalvia; Mytilida; Mytilidae
Source: RNAcentral
GUUUGUUCUUCAAAAUUCCGCCGAAGGGCAGUGUCUGACCUGAAUAAGAACUGCUUGACUGUGAAGACGUGCAUAUACUCUAAGAUCGAUUAUGAAUAAUAAGAAUUCAUGAACCUUAAGAAAUCUGACAUACCAAUAAUUGGCAUUUCUGACGCGAAAUUUUCAAUUGGCAUUUAUCCGUUUCAGAUCCGUUCAUCAUCUGUUUUAUCC